AGAGUUUGAUCCUGGCUCAGGAUGAACGCUGGCGGCGUGCCUAACACAUGCAAGUCGAGCGGUAUAUAUCUAAACAAAACUUCGGUCUAGUGAGGGUAUAGAGAGCGGCGGACGGGUGAGUAACGCGUAGGCAACCUGCCCCAUACACAGGGAUAGCCUCGGGAAACCGGGAUUAAAACCUGAUAAUGCGAGAAGUUCACAUGGACAACUCGCCAAAGAUUUAUCGGUAUGGGAUGGGCCUGCGUCUGAUUAGCUAGUUGGUGGGGUAACGGCCUACCAAGGCGACGAUCAGUAGCCGACCUGAGAGGGUAAUCGGCCACAUUGGAACUGAGACACGGUCCAAACUCCUACGGGAGGCAGCAGUGGGGAAUAUUGCACAAUGGGCGAAAGCCUGAUGCAGCAACGCCGCGUGAGCGAUGAAGGCCUUUGGGUCGUAAAGCUCUGUCCUUGGGGAAGAAAAAAAUGACGGUACCCUUGGAGGAAGCCCCGGCUAACUACGUGCCAGCAGCCGCGGUAAUACGUAGGGGGCAAGCGUUAUCCGGAAUUAUUGGGCGUAAAGAGUGCGUAGGUGGUUUUGUAAGCGCGGGGUGAAAGGCAAUAGCUCGACUAUUGUAAGCCUUGCGAACUGUAACACUUGAGUGCAGGAGAGGAAAGCGGAAUUCCUAGUGUAGCGGUGAAAUGCGUAGAUAUUAGGAGGAACACCAGUGGCGAACGCGGCUUUCUGGACUGUAACUGACACUGAGCACGAAAGCGUGGGGAGCAAACAGGAUUAGAUACCCUGGUAGUCCACGCCGUAAACGAUGAGCACUACGUGUCGGGGCCGCAAGGCUUCGGUGCCGCAGUUAACGCAUUAAUGCUCCGCCUGGGGAGUACGCACGCAAGUGUGAAACUCAGAGGAAUUGACGG
This 906-nucleotide ribosomal RNA is filed under the name uncultured bacterium. RNAcentral's name for it is "bacterial SSU rRNA". It matches the Rfam family "Bacterial small subunit ribosomal RNA", at positions 8 to 916 of the family's 1533-position model. The record is from RNAcentral.